RNAcentral lists this ribosomal RNA (253 nucleotides) under uncultured bacterium. RNAcentral describes it as "partial 16S ribosomal RNA". It matches the Rfam family "Bacterial small subunit ribosomal RNA", at positions 524 to 776 of the family's 1533-position model. The record is from RNAcentral.
UACGAAGGGGGCUAGCGUUGCUCGGAAUUACUGGGCAUAAAGGGCCAGUAGGCGGCCAACUAAGUCGGAUGUGAAAUCCCCAGGCUUAACCUGGGAACUGCAUCCGAUACUGGAUGGCUUGAAUUCGGGAGAGGGAUGCAGAAUUCCAGGUGUAGCGGUGAAAUGCGUAGAUAUCUGGAGGAAUACCGGUGGCGAAGGCGGCAUCCUGGACCGACAUUGACGCUGAACGGCGAAAGCUAGGGGAGCAAACGGG